RNAcentral lists this ribosomal RNA (440 nucleotides) under uncultured bacterium. RNAcentral describes it as "partial 16S ribosomal RNA". It matches the Rfam family "Bacterial small subunit ribosomal RNA", at positions 338 to 795 of the family's 1533-position model. The record is from RNAcentral.
CCUACGGGAGACAGCAGUGGGGAAUAUUGCACAAUGGGGGAAACCCUGAUGCAGCGACGCCGCGUGAGUGAAGAAGUAUUUCGGUACGUAAAGCUCUAUCAGCAGGGAAGAAAAUGACGGUACCUGACUAAGAAGCCCCGGCUAACUACGUGCCAGCAGCCGCGGUAAUACGUAGGGGGCAAGCGUUAUCCGGAUUUACUGGGUGUAAAGGGAGCGUAGACGGCAGCGCAAGUCUGGAGUGAAAUCCCAUGGCUUAACCAUGGAACUGCUUUGGAAACUGUGCAGCUAGAGUGCAGGAGAGGUAAGCGGAAUUCCUAGUGGAGCGGUGAAAUGCGUAGAUAUUAGGAGGAACACCAGUGGCGAAGGCGGCUUACUGGACUGUAACUGACGUUGAGGCUCGAAAGCGUGGGGAGCAAACAGGAUUAGAUACCCUAGUAGUC